CCCCCUCAACAAGGAGAUUAUGGACGAGUUCGACUUUUGGGUUUUACGGGAGAAGCUUUUCUUUCCUUUUUGGAGCCUCCAGCGUCCGGAAAGAGAUUGCAACAAUCGCAACAUAGUUCACCUUGUCACAACACCAGCAAUUUUUUUUAUGGUGCUCAUUCAGCUGUUCAGGAUAGCCCAAUUCUCGUGUACUCAACAAACAUUCUCAUCUCAGGGAAGAAAAUACUUAACCGUUUGAUCGGCUGGCUUUUCAUGAGUUACAGUUUGUGGUGGAAGAAGCACGAUCUCAUGGGAUUUACAGAGGGAGAGCUUAACCACACAGAGAUAUAUUUUUGCAUUUUAAAUAGCUCCCCAAGAGAUUAUUAGUUUGUACUUUUUGUUAAUUUAGAAUUUGUUUAAAAUGUACCCAGGACAAUGAUGAGUAAAUGCAUUUAUUCUGCAUGCAUUUAAGGCUUCAACGUACUUGUAUGAGUUCCGGGAGAAGCAUUAUUUAUUAAAAUUGUAUUCUUAAA
Molecule: long non-coding RNA, 512 nt
Organism: Lutzomyia longipalpis
Lineage: Eukaryota; Metazoa; Arthropoda; Insecta; Diptera; Psychodidae
Exons: 2
Source: RefSeq, a predicted model, not a curated record